GGAGCUGUAGCGCAAUGGAAAAAACCUUUGACUUCUAUGCAGAAGGGCCCAGGUUCAAUUCCUGGCAUCUCCA
RNAcentral lists this transfer RNA (73 nucleotides) under Sphaerodactylus townsendi. Its description in RNAcentral is "tRNA-Arg". It matches the Rfam family "tRNA". From Rfam's summary of the family: Transfer RNA (tRNA) molecules are approximately 80 nucleotides in length. Their secondary structure includes four short double-helical elements and three loops (D, anti-codon, and T loops). Further hydrogen bonds mediate the characteristic L-shaped molecular structure. tRNAs have two regions of fundamental functional importance: the anti-codon, which is responsible for specific mRNA codon recognition, and the 3' end, to which the tRNAs corresponding amino acid is attached (by aminoacyl-tRNA synthetases). tRNAs cope with the degeneracy of the genetic code in two manners: having more than one tRNA (with a specific anti-codon) for a particular amino acid; and 'wobble' base-pairing, i.e. permitting non-standard base-pairing at the 3rd anti-codon position. Lineage: Eukaryota; Metazoa; Chordata; Lepidosauria; Squamata; Sphaerodactylidae. The record is from RNAcentral.